AUUUUCUAGCGACUGGAAUGGCACCUUUGGACUCGCCACAGGCCGACAAGUAUUUUGGCAGUGGUGUGGGGUUGUUCUGAUUGUCGAACGGUGGUUGGUGAAGGAGAAGGCAAUUGGUACUCCUUGGUUUGUUGAUCGGUACUGCUUGAUUCCUUUCGGAGACUCUGUUUAUGGUUUUGUAAAUUUUUUUUUUUAAAACAGUAACUAAGGAAUUUCGAGGUGAGGAA
RNAcentral lists this unclassified non-coding RNA (227 nucleotides) under Hevea brasiliensis (rubber tree). The record is from RNAcentral. Lineage: Eukaryota; Viridiplantae; Streptophyta; Magnoliopsida; Malpighiales; Euphorbiaceae.